RNAcentral lists this long non-coding RNA (747 nucleotides) under Solanum tuberosum (potato). RNAcentral describes it as "long non-coding RNA (STUB_LNC002691)". The record is from RNAcentral. Lineage: Eukaryota; Viridiplantae; Streptophyta; Magnoliopsida; Solanales; Solanaceae.
GUACCGUUUUGUCAUUGACAUUGCUGGUCCAUCUUCUCAUCUUUAAAAUUUAUUUAUUUAUUUUUGUAUGUGUAAUUUACUUUUCAUUUCAUUUCAAUAACCUGAAUUUGUAUUUCUUAAUAUUAUGAUGUUGUUUAUUUACACUUUGUUUGGGUGGUUGUUACGUAUUGUUUCAUGAUGUAUCGUAUUAUAUUGUAUAGUGUUGUACUGUAUUGUUUUAUUUUAAUAAAUACAAUGUUUGAAUAGAUUGUAUUGUUCUGCAUCGUUACAUUUCAUUUAAUUCCAAUUCCCUGAACUAGUAUUUCUUAAUAUUAUGAUGUUGCUUAUUUAUUUACCGAAAUAAUAUAUAUAUGUUGUAAAACUAAAGACAAAAUAAGACAAGAAAUAUAGAAGAUGAAAGCAAUGUUGUAAUACCAUAGAUGCAUCUAUUAAAUCAUAAUAGUGAACGGUCCACAUGGCAGGUGAACGGGCCCAUAUUCACCUUUCUAUAUGUUCCAAAUAAUUUCAGGGGAUACAAUCUCAACCUUAGUUGAUACAGAUAUCAUUUUGUCAUGACAACAAGCAACAAAAGAGAAUCUUAAAGAAUCUUUUAUUUCUUCAAACAUAUAGCCACGUGAAUUCUCAACUUCUUUUGCAUCACUUUGAACUGGAAUGGCCAACCGGUUAUGCCAACUGAUAUUUAUUCUAGUAAACUUCUAGUUUACUUUUGCAUGUGAUUCCAUCAUCAUGCCCAUAUUUGUAUACAAC